CUGCCUCUGGCUUGGCCUGCAG
RNAcentral lists this microRNA (22 nucleotides) under Canis lupus familiaris (dog). Its description in RNAcentral is "cfa-miR-8876". Lineage: Eukaryota; Metazoa; Chordata; Mammalia; Carnivora; Canidae. The record is from miRBase by way of RNAcentral.